RNAcentral lists this ribosomal RNA (635 nucleotides) under uncultured Bacteroidota bacterium. RNAcentral describes it as "bacterial SSU rRNA". It matches the Rfam family "Bacterial small subunit ribosomal RNA", at positions 60 to 691 of the family's 1533-position model. The record is from RNAcentral. Lineage: Bacteria; Pseudomonadati; Bacteroidota.
AGUCGACGGUAACAUGAGUAGCAAUACUUGAUGACGAGUGGCGCACGGGUGCGUAACACGUAUGCAACCUUCCUUCAACUGGAGAAUAGCCCGAAGAAAUUCGGAUUAACUCUCCAUAGUAAAACAGAACGGCAUCGUUUUGUUUUUAAACCUCCGGGGGUUGAAGAUGGGCAUGCGUUGCAUUAGCUAGUUGGCGGGGUAAAAGCCCACCAAGGCUACGAUGCAUAGGGGAUCUGAGAGGACUAACCCCCACACUGGUACUGAGACACGGACCAGACUCCUACGGGAGGCAGCAGUAAGGAAUAUUGGACAAUGGGGGCAACCCUGAUCCAGCCAUGCCGCGUGAAGGAUGAAGGCGCUAUGCGUUGUAAACUUCUUUUGAACGGGAGAAAACCCACCUACGUGUAGGUGGCUGAUAGUACCGUUAGAAUAAGGAUCGGCUAACUCCGUGCCAGCAGCCGCGGUAAUACGGAGGAUCCAAGCGUUAUCCGGAUUCAUUGGGUUUAAAGGGUGCGUAGGCGGACUGAUAAGUCAGCGGUGAAAUCUCUCGGCUUAACCGAGAAACUGCCGUUGAUACUGUCAGUCUUGAGUACAGAUGAUGUGGGCGGAAUAUGACAUGUAGUGGUGAAAUACUU